RNAcentral lists this ribosomal RNA (389 nucleotides) under Staphylococcus pseudintermedius. RNAcentral's name for it is "partial 23S ribosomal RNA". It matches the Rfam family "Bacterial large subunit ribosomal RNA", at positions 402 to 793 of the family's 2925-position model. Lineage: Bacteria; Bacillati; Bacillota; Bacilli; Caryophanales; Staphylococcaceae. The record is from RNAcentral.
UGGAUCCUGAGUACGACGGAGCACGUGAAAUUCCGUCGGAAUCUGGGAGGACCAUCUCCUAAGGCUAAAUACUCUCUAGUGACCGAUAGUGAACCAGUACCGUGAGGGAAAGGUGAAAAGUACCCCGGAAGGGGAGUGAAAGAGAACUUGAAACCGUGUGCUUACAAGUAGUCAGAGCCCGUUAAUGGGUGAUGGCGUGCCUUUUGUAGAAUGAACCGGCGAGUUACGAUCUGAUGCAAGGUUAAGCAGAAAAUGUGGAGCCGUAGCGAAAGCGAGUCUGAAUAGGGCGAAUGAGUAUUUGGUCGUAGACCCGAAACCAGGUGAUCUACCCUUGGUCAGGUUGAAGUUCAGGUAACACUGAAUGGAGGACCGAACCGACUUACGUUGAA